Molecule: non-coding RNA, 30 nt
Filed under: Rattus norvegicus (Norway rat)
Lineage: Eukaryota; Metazoa; Chordata; Mammalia; Rodentia; Muridae
Source: RNAcentral
UCAUAUUCCUAUCGGCAUUGCUGUCUAGGC